AGACCCGAAACCCGGUGAUCUAGCCAUGGGCAGGUUGAAGGUUGGGUAACACUAACUGGAGGACCGAACCGACUAAUGUUGAAAAAUUAGCGGAUGACCUGUGGCUGGGGGUGAAAGGCCAAUCAAACCGGGAGAUAGCUGGUUCUCCCCGAAAGCUAUUUAGGUAGCGCCUCGUGAAUUCAUCUCCGGGGGUAGAGCACUGUUUCGGCUAGGGGGCCAUCCCGGCUUACCAACCCGAUGCAAACUGCGAAUACCGGAGAAUGUUAUCACGGGAGACACACGGCGGGUGCUAACGUCCGUCGUGAAGAGGGAAACAACCCAGACCGCCAGCUAAGGUCCCAAAGUCAUGGUUAAGUGGGAAACGAUGUGGGAAGGCCCAGACAGCCAGGAUGUUGGCUUAGAAGCAGCCAUCAUUUAAAGAAAGCGUAAUAGCUCACUGGUCGAGUCGGCCUGCGCGGAAGAUGUAACGGGGCUAAACCAUGCACCGAAGCUGCGGCAGCGACACUGUGUGUUGUUGGGUAGGGGAGCGUUCUGUAAGCCUGUGAAGGUGUGUCGUGAGGCAUGCUGGAGGUAUCAGAAGUGCGAAUGCUGACAUAAGUAACGAUAAAGCGGGUGAAAAGCCCGCUCGCCGGAAGACCAAGGGUUCCUGUCCAACGUUAAUCGGGGCAGGGUGAGUCGACCCCUAAGGCGAGGCCGAAAGGCGUAGUCGAUGGGAAACGGGUUAAUAUUCCCGUACUUGGUGUUACUGCGAAGGGGGGACGGAGAAGGCUAUGUUGGCCGGGCGACGGUUGUCCCGGUUUAAGCGUGUAGGUGUGUGUUCCAGGUAAAUCCGGUUCACUUUAACACUGAGGCGUGACGACGAGGCACUACGGUGCUGAAGCAACAAAUGCCCUGCUUCCAGGAAAAGCCUCUAAGCAUCAGGUAACAUCAAAUCGUACCCCAAACCGACACAGGUGGUCAGGUAGAGAAUACCAAGGCGCUUGAGAGAACUCGGGUGAAGGAACUAGGCAAAAUGGUGCCGUAACUUCGGGAGAAGGCACGCUGACACGUAGGUGAAGUGAUUUACUCAUGGAGCUGAAGUCAGUCGAAGAUACCAGCUGGCUGCAACUGUUUAUUAAAAACACAGCACUGUGCAAACACGAAAGUGGACGUAUACGGUGUGACGCCUGCCCGGUGCCGGAAGGUUAAUUGAUGGGGUCAGCGCAAGCGAAGCUCCUGAUCGAAGCCCCGGUAAACGGCGGCCGUAACUAUAACGGUCCUAAGGUAGCGAAAUUCCUUGUCGGGUAAGUUCCGACCUGCACGAAUGGCGUAAUGAUGGCCAGGCUGUCUCCACCCGAGACUCAGUGAAAUUGAACUCGCUGUGAAGAUGCAGUGUACCCGCGGCAAGACGGAAAGACCCCGUGAACCUUUACUAUAGCUUGACACUGAACAUUGAGCCUUGAUGUGUAGGAUAGGUGGGAGGCUUUGAAGUGUGGACGCCAGUCUGCAUGGAGCCGACCUUGAAAUACCACCCUUUAAUGUUUGAUGUUCUAACGUGGACCCGUUACCCGGGUUGCGGACAGUGUCUGGUGGGUAGUUUGACUGGGGCGGUCUCCUCCUAAAGAGUA
This 1607-nucleotide ribosomal RNA is filed under the name Salmonella enterica. RNAcentral's name for it is "partial 23S ribosomal RNA". It matches the Rfam family "Bacterial large subunit ribosomal RNA", at positions 711 to 2299 of the family's 2925-position model. The record is from RNAcentral. Lineage: Bacteria; Pseudomonadati; Pseudomonadota; Gammaproteobacteria; Enterobacterales; Enterobacteriaceae.